UUGAUGGUGUUAUGCACAUCAGAUUUUGUA
Molecule: non-coding RNA, 30 nt
Filed under: Mus musculus (house mouse)
Lineage: Eukaryota; Metazoa; Chordata; Mammalia; Rodentia; Muridae
Source: RNAcentral